CGCGUAGGUGGUCUGCUAAGCGUGCGGUGAAAGCCCGGGGCUCAACCCCGGGUCGGCCGUGCGAACUGGUGGACUUGAGCACUGUAGAGGCAGGUGGAAUUCCGGGUGUAGCGGUGGAAUGCGUAGAGAUCCGGAAGAACACCGGUGGCGAAGGCGGCCUGCUGGGCAGUAGCUGACACUGAGGCGCGACAGCGUGGGGAGCAAACAGGAUUAGAUACCCUAGUA
This 225-nucleotide ribosomal RNA is filed under the name uncultured Gemmatimonas sp. RNAcentral describes it as "partial 16S ribosomal RNA". It matches the Rfam family "Bacterial small subunit ribosomal RNA", at positions 568 to 792 of the family's 1533-position model. Lineage: Bacteria; Pseudomonadati; Gemmatimonadota; Gemmatimonadia; Gemmatimonadales; Gemmatimonadaceae. The record is from RNAcentral.